UUAUCUUCAGUGCAAGCGGUGUGUUUAUCAUUCCGUUGGCCUGGUUUCGACUCAGAACACUUGCACAUAUCCUGCUGGUAUACAUGGACAAAGGUACCGUGGCGUUGGAUAACGCACCAAAGAAACAUCUUCAAACAUGCAGGCGAGUUGUGAUCACGAACGUUCCAACACGAUGUGUGUAAGGAUUCGCAUUCUUCAAGACAUCCAAGCUUAACGUCCACGAUAGGUCAACGUCACUAGGUUUUAUUUUCUUUAUAUCACUUCCUUAGUUGACUUCAGUUUUAUGAACAGCAUCUUCGGUGAAAUUGCAGUACAGAAGAAUAUUUCUGGGAUUUAUUUAGAUAGUCCGCCAUCCAUCAGACGUCCUUCACUUCAAUGCAUCUUGGAAACAUUAUCUGAUGUCCUAUGCCUUCAACGACACCACCAUCAUCAUACCUGAUCGAC
Molecule: long non-coding RNA, 444 nt
Organism: Anopheles coustani
Lineage: Eukaryota; Metazoa; Arthropoda; Insecta; Diptera; Culicidae
Exons: 3
Source: RefSeq, a predicted model, not a curated record